GCCCAGAUAGCUCAGUCGGUAGAGCAGAGGACUGAAAAUCCUCGUGUCGGUGGUUCGAUUCCGCCUCUGGGCACCA
RNAcentral lists this transfer RNA (76 nucleotides) under [Butyribacterium] methylotrophicum. RNAcentral's name for it is "tRNA-Phe". It matches the Rfam family "tRNA". From Rfam's summary of the family: Transfer RNA (tRNA) molecules are approximately 80 nucleotides in length. RNAcentral also lists the same sequence under 103 other names. The record is from RNAcentral. Lineage: Bacteria; Bacillati; Bacillota; Clostridia; Eubacteriales; Clostridiaceae.